AGCUUCAUGGUCGAGUGGUAGGAAGGACACUUGCCACUCACCCCAGAGUCCCGGGUUCGAUCCCCGAUCGAGGAGCUA
Rhamnusium bicolor is the source of this 78-nucleotide non-coding RNA. The record is from the annotation of a GenBank genome assembly. NCBI's taxonomy places the organism in Eukaryota, Metazoa, Arthropoda, Insecta, Coleoptera, Cerambycidae.